UACGGAGGAUCCAAGCGUUAUCCGGAAUUACUGGGCGUAAAGAGUUGCGUAGGUGGCAUCGUAAGUCUGUAGUGAAAGCGUGGGGCUCAACCCCAUACACAUUAUGGAAACUGCGAAGCUAGAGGACGAGAGAGGUUAUUGGAAUUCCUAGUGUAGGAGUGAAAUCCGUAGAUAUUAGGAGGAACACCGAUGGCGUAGGCAGAUAACUGGCUCGUUCCUGACACUAAGGCACGAAAGCAUGGGUAGCAAACGGG
Molecule: ribosomal RNA, 254 nt
Filed under: uncultured bacterium
Lineage: Bacteria
Description: partial 16S ribosomal RNA
Rfam family: Bacterial small subunit ribosomal RNA
Source: RNAcentral